UUCGCAAUGCCCGAAAGGGUGACGAAGCGACGCCGCGUGUGGGAAGAAGGCCUUCGGGUUGUAAACCACUGUCGGGAGUUAGGAAAUGUAAGGGUGCUAAUAGUAUUCUUACUUGACUAAGGCUCCGGAGGAAGCCACGGCUAACUCUGUGCCAGCAGCCGCGGUAAUACAGAGGCGGCAAGCGUUGUUCGGAAUUAUUGGGCGUAAAGAGCACGUAGGCGGCCUUGUAAGUCAGUUGUGAAAGCCUUCUGCUUAACGGAAGAACAGCAGCUGAUACUGCAAGGCUAGAGUGCGGAAGGGGAGAGUGGAACUUCUGGUGGAGCGGUGAAAUGCGUAGAUAUCAGAAGGAACACCGGCGGCGAAGGCGACUCUCUGGUCCGUAACUGACGCUGAGUGUGCGAAAGCUAGGGGAGCAAACGGGAUUAGAUACCCCGGUAGUCCUAGCCGUAAAC
RNAcentral lists this ribosomal RNA (452 nucleotides) under uncultured bacterium. RNAcentral describes it as "bacterial SSU rRNA". It matches the Rfam family "Bacterial small subunit ribosomal RNA", at positions 365 to 807 of the family's 1533-position model. The record is from RNAcentral.